Long non-coding RNA from Diceros bicornis minor, 750 nucleotides. RefSeq lists it as uncharacterized. Lineage: Eukaryota; Metazoa; Chordata; Mammalia; Perissodactyla; Rhinocerotidae. The record is from RefSeq and is a predicted model, not a curated record. The transcript has 4 exons.
GCCCGGACGGCCCGGGCCGGAGGGGGCGCGGAGCCGGCCGGUGGCGGCCGCCCUGCCGGCUCGGCCUGGGCCCGGCGGUGGCGGGGAGCGCCGCGAAGCGUCCCCGCCCGGCUCCUUCCUCCCGCCUCUCGCGGCCCGUCCGUGCCGCAGCGCCGCCCCCGGCUCCGCCCGCCGCCGCAGCCCCUCGCGGUAACGGUCGGGAGCGGCCCGCGCGCGCCGCCCGCCGGGGCCCCGCGCCAGCCACGAGGGAGCGUCCGCGGCCCGCGCGCCCGCGCCGCGGAAGGUGAUAAGUAUGAUGCUUCCAUAAUACAUUUGGAGGUUUUCGGCUAAGUUCGCUUCUGAAGUGUGGGGUUCCUCUAAGUGUUGGCUGAAAUUUGUCCUUGCAUAUCUCCAGGCUCAUCUACAAAAUCUACAGUUCAUAAUGGAGCUACUGUACUGGCUGUUGGAAGGAGGAGAUUCUGAAGAUAGGGAGAUUCAGCUAUCGGUCUUUGAAAUUUCCUGUGGUCUGUGCAAUCUAGAUGCAAAGGACAUGGAAAAGUCAAGUGCUCAAGUGGUUUAAAUAUGUUUUGGAUGUUCCUAUUUAUAGACUGCAGUAUUUUUCCAAUUAAAAUCCUCAGUUGUCGUGCAAAAAAAGGUUAUGUUUUUCUUGAUCACCAAUUUUAUUUGAAAUGCUUAGUACUGUAGAGUAUCACUAAACAUCUUUUGUUUUAAUUAAAGUAUAGAAAAAAUAAAAUCAAUUUUAUAUGUUGA